CAUGUAGGCGGUUAGAUAAGUCGUUUGUGAAAGCCCUCGGCUCAACCGAGGAAGGUCAAGCGAAACUAUUUAGCUAGAGUACGAUAGGGGAGAGCGGAAUUCCGAGUGUAGAGGUGAAAUUCGUAGAUAUUCGGAGGAACACCGGUGGCGAAGGCGGCUCUCUGGAUCUGUACUGACGCUGAGAUGCGAAGGCGUGGGUAGCAAACA
Molecule: ribosomal RNA, 207 nt
Filed under: uncultured bacterium
Lineage: Bacteria
Description: partial 16S ribosomal RNA
Rfam family: Bacterial small subunit ribosomal RNA
Source: RNAcentral